GUGAGGAAUAUUGGUCAAUGGGCGGGAGCCUGAACCAGCCAAGUCGCGUGAAGGAAGAAGGAUCUAUGGUUCGUAAACUUCUUUUGCAGGGGAAUAAAGUGCAGCACGUGUCCUGUUUUGUAUGUACCCUGAGAAUAAGGAUCGGCUAACUCCGUGCCAGCAGCCGCGGUAAUACGGAGGAUCCGAGCGUUAUCCGGAUUUAUUGGGUUUAAAGGGUGCGUAGGUGGUUUGAUAAGUCAGCGGUGAAAGUUUGCAGCUUAACUGUAAAAAUGCCGUUGAAACUGUCGGACUUGAGUGUAAAUGAGGUAGGCGGAAUGCGUGGUGUAGCGGUGAAAUGCAUAGAUAUCACGCAGAACUCCGAUUGCGAAGGCAGCUUACUAAGCUACAACUGACACUGAAGCACGAAAGCGUGGGGAUCAAACAGGAUUAGAAACCCGAGUAGUCC
Molecule: ribosomal RNA, 445 nt
Filed under: uncultured bacterium
Lineage: Bacteria
Description: partial 16S ribosomal RNA
Rfam family: Bacterial small subunit ribosomal RNA
Source: RNAcentral